Molecule: ribosomal RNA, 253 nt
Filed under: uncultured bacterium
Lineage: Bacteria
Description: partial 16S ribosomal RNA
Rfam family: Bacterial small subunit ribosomal RNA
Source: RNAcentral
UACGGAGGAUGCGAGCGUUAUCCGGAUUUAUUAGGUUUAAAGGGUGCGUAGGCUGUAUAGUAAGUCAGUGGUGAAAUACCUGGGCUCAACCGAGGGGCUGCCAUUGAUACUGCUGUACUAGAGUUCAGUUGAGGUAGGCGGAAUGUGUAAUGUAGCGGUGAAAUGCUUAGAUAUUACACAGAACACCGAUUGCGAAGGCAGCUUACUAAGCUGAUACUGACGCUGAAGCACGAAAGCGUGGGGAUCGAACAGG